AGUGAACGCUGGCGGUAGGCCUAACACAUGCAAGUCGAACGGCAGCACAGUAAGAGCUUGCUCUUACGGGUGGCGAGUGGCGGACGGGUGAGGAAUACAUCGGAAUCUACUUUUUCGUGGGGGAUAACGUAGGGAAACUUACGCUAAUACCGCAUACGACCUACGGGUGAAAGCAGGGGAUCUUCGGACCUUGCGCGAUUGAAUGAGCCGAUGUCGGAUUCGCUAGUUGGCGGGGUAAAGGCCCACCAAGGCGACGAUCCGUAGCUGGUCUGAGAGGAUGAUUAGCCACACUGGCACUGAGACACGGUCCAGACUCCUACGGUAGGCAGCAGUGGGGAAUAUUGGACGAUGGGCGCAAGCCUGAUCCAGCCCUACCGCGUGGGUGAAGAAGGCCUUCGGGUUGUAAAGCCCUUUUGUUGGGAAAGAAAAGCAGCAGGUUAAUACCCCGCUGUUCUGACGGUACCCAAAGAAUAAGCACCGGCUAACUUCGUG
RNAcentral lists this ribosomal RNA (492 nucleotides) under uncultured bacterium. RNAcentral's name for it is "partial 16S ribosomal RNA". It matches the Rfam family "Bacterial small subunit ribosomal RNA", at positions 29 to 507 of the family's 1533-position model. The record is from RNAcentral.